RNAcentral lists this ribosomal RNA (871 nucleotides) under Alternaria chlamydospora. RNAcentral's name for it is "LSU rRNA". It matches the Rfam family "Eukaryotic large subunit ribosomal RNA", at positions 68 to 957 of the family's 3401-position model. The record is from RNAcentral. Lineage: Eukaryota; Fungi; Ascomycota; Dothideomycetes; Pleosporales; Pleosporaceae.
ACAGGGAUUGCCCUAGUAACGGCGAGUGAAGCGGCAACAGCUCAAAUUUGAAAUCUGGCUCUUUUAGAGUCCGAGUUGUAAUUUGCAGAGGGCGCUUUGGCUUUGGCAGCGGUCCAAGUUCCUUGGAACAGGACGUCACAGAGGGUGAGAAUCCCGUACGUGGUCGCUGGCUAUUGCCGUGUAAAGCCCCUUCGACGAGUCGAGUUGUUUGGGAAUGCAGCUCUAAAUGGGAGGUACAUUUCUUCUAAAGCUAAAUAUUGGCCAGAGACCGAUAGCGCACAAGUAGAGUGAUCGAAAGAUGAAAAGCACUUUGGAAAGAGAGUCAAACAGCACGUGAAAUUGUUGAAAGGGAAGCGCUUGCAGCCAGACUUGCUUGCAGUUGCUCAUCCGGGCUUUUGCCCGGUGCACUCUUCUGUAGGCAGGCCAGCAUCAGUUUGGGCGGUAGGAUAAAGGUCUCUGUCACGUACCUCUCUUCGGGGAGGCCUUAUAGGGGAGGCGACAUACUACCAGCCUGGACUGAGGUCCGCGCAUCUGCUAGGAUGCUGGCGUAAUGGCUGUAAGCGGCCCGUCUUGAAACACGGACCAAGGAGUCUAACAUCUAUGCGAGUGUUUGGGUGUCAAGCCCGAGCGCGUAAUGAAAGUGAACGGAGGUAGGACCCCGCAAGGGUGCACUAUCGACCGAUCCUGAUGUCUUCGGAAGGAUUUGAGUAAGAGCAUGGCUGUUGGGACCCGAAAGAUGGUGAACUAUGCUUGAAUAGGGUGAAGCCAGAGGAAACUCUGGUGGAGGCUCGCAGCGGUUCUGACGUGCAAAUCGAUCGUCAAAUUUGGGCAUAGGGGCGAAAGACUAAUCGAACUAUCUAGUAGCUGGUCU